This 920-nucleotide ribosomal RNA is filed under the name uncultured bacterium. RNAcentral describes it as "bacterial SSU rRNA". It matches the Rfam family "Bacterial small subunit ribosomal RNA", at positions 28 to 917 of the family's 1533-position model. The record is from RNAcentral.
GACAAACGCUGGCGGCGUGCCUAACACAUGCAAGUCCUACGAGAACCACGGAGCUUGCUCCGUGUAGUAAAGUGGCGAAUGGGUGAGUAACACGUAGGUAACCUACCUCAUGGAUGGGGAUAACUUCUCGAAAGGGGAGCUAAUACCCUAUAAUGCAGCGGGCUCUUCGGAGCAUGUUGUUAAAGCUGGGGACCCUUCGGGGCCUAGCGCCUUGAGAUGGGCCUGCGCCUGAUUAGUUUGUUGGUGAGGUAACGGCUCACCAAGACUACGAUCAGUAGCUGGUCUGAGAGGAUGUACAGCCACACUGGGAUUGAGAUACGGCCCAGACUCCUAAGGGAGGCAGCAGUGAGGAAUCUUGCGCAAUGUUCGAAAGAGUGACGCAGCAACGCCGCGUGGUCGAUGAUGACUCUGAGGAGUGUAAAGACCUGUUGGGAGGGAAGAAAACCCCUUACAAAUAGUACAGGGAAUUGACGGUACCUUCCAUAGAAAGCUCCGGCUAACUUCGUGCCAGCAGCCGCGGUAAUACGAGGGGAGCAAGCGUUGUCCGGAUUUAUUGGGCGUAAAGGGCGUGUAGGCGGAUCGGCAAGUCAGGUUUUAAAUAGUACGGCUCAACCGUAUCAAUGGGUCUGAUACUGUCGGUCUUGAGUUCGAGAGAGGGAAGCGGAAUUCCUGGUGUAGCGGUGAAAUGCCAUGAUAUCAGGAGGAACACCGGCGGCGAAGGCGGCUUCCUGGCUCGACACUGACGCUGAGGCGCGAAAGCGUGGGUAGCGAACAGGAUUAGAUACCCUGGUAGUCCACGCCGUAAACGAUGGAUACUAGGCGUCGGGAGACUUUUGACCCUCUCGGUGCCGAAGCUAACGCAUUAAGUAUCCCGCCUGGGGAGUACGACCGCAAGGUUGAAACUCAAAGGAAUUGACGGG